AUAUAGAUUAUAAGGUAUAUCAGAUGGGGCAUAUAUAGAUUAUAGGGUACAUCAGUUGGGCCAUAUAUAGAUUAUAAGGUAUAUCAGAUGGGGCAUAUAUAGAUUAUAAGGUAUAUCAGAUGGGGCAUAUAUAGAUUAUAAGGUAUAUCAGAUGGGGCAUAUAUAGAUUAUAAGGUACAUCAGAUGGGGCAUAUAUAGAUUAUAGGGUAUAUCAGGUGGGGCAUAUAUAGAUUAUAGGGUAUAUCAGAUGGGGCAUAUAUAGAUUAUAAGGUAUAUCAGAUGGGCCAUAUAUAGAUUAUAAGGUAUAUCAGAUGGGGCAUAUAUAGAUCAUAGGGUAUAUCAGAUGGGCCAUAUAUAGAUUAUAAGGUAUAUCAGAUGGGGCAUAUAUAGAUUAUAGGGUACAUCAGAUGAGCCAUAUAUAGAUUAUAAGGUAUAUCAGAUGGGGCAUAUAUAGAUUAUAGGGUACAUCAGAUGAGCCAUAUAUAGAUUAUAAGGUAUAUCAGAUGGGCCAUAUAUAGAUUAUAAGGUAUAUCAGAUGGGGCAUAUAUAGAUUAUAGGGUACAUCAGAUGAGCCAUAUAUAGAUUAUAAGGUAUAUCAGAUGGGGCAUA
Long non-coding RNA from Limulus polyphemus (Atlantic horseshoe crab), 609 nucleotides. RefSeq lists it as uncharacterized. The record is from RefSeq and is a predicted model, not a curated record. Lineage: Eukaryota; Metazoa; Arthropoda; Merostomata; Xiphosura; Limulidae. The transcript has 3 exons.